GUGGGUGUAGCUCAAUGGUAGAGCACACGCUUGGCAUACAUGAGGACCUGGGUUCAAUCUCCAGUGCCUCCU
This 72-nucleotide transfer RNA is filed under the name Camelus bactrianus (Bactrian camel). It matches the Rfam family "tRNA". From Rfam's summary of the family: Transfer RNA (tRNA) molecules are approximately 80 nucleotides in length. Their secondary structure includes four short double-helical elements and three loops (D, anti-codon, and T loops). The record is from Rfam by way of RNAcentral. Lineage: Eukaryota; Metazoa; Chordata; Mammalia; Artiodactyla; Camelidae. RNAcentral also lists the same sequence under 2 other names.